GAUGAAGAACGCAGCGAAAUGCGAUACUUGGUGUGAAUUGCAGAAUCCCGCGAAUCAUCGAGUUUUUGAACGCAAGUUGCGCCCGAAGCCACUAGGCCGAGGGCACGCCUGCCUGGGCGUCACACGUCGUUGCCCCCCCCCCAUCUACUCCUUCGGGAUUGCGGGGGGCGGAUGAUGGCCUCCCGUGCGCCUAGCCGCGCGGUUGGCAUAAAUACCAAGUCCUCGGCGACGCACGCCACGACAAUCGGUGGUUGCGAAACCUCGGUUGCCCGUCGUGUGCGUUCGUCGCGCAUCGAGGGCUCGAAAAAAUGCUCGGCUCCGGCUCGGCUUUCAACGCGACCCCAGGUCAGGCGGGGUUACCCGCUGAAUUUAAGCAUAUCAAUAAGCGGAGGA
This 393-nucleotide unclassified non-coding RNA is filed under the name soil metagenome. RNAcentral describes it as "partial contains 5.8S ribosomal RNA, internal transcribed spacer 2, and large subunit ribosomal RNA". The stretch from base 1 to 122 matches the Rfam family "5.8S ribosomal RNA", at positions 35 to 154 of the family's 154-position model. The record is from RNAcentral.